Molecule: transfer RNA, 66 nt
Filed under: Tylodelphys immer
Lineage: Eukaryota; Metazoa; Platyhelminthes; Trematoda; Diplostomida; Diplostomidae
Description: tRNA-Asn
Source: RNAcentral
GUCUGUGUAGAUUAAUUAUAAAUUGUAAGGCUGUUAACCUUGAGAUAGUUUCUUUAUUUGCAGGCG